Molecule: long non-coding RNA, 27651 nt
Filed under: Triticum aestivum (bread wheat)
Lineage: Eukaryota; Viridiplantae; Streptophyta; Magnoliopsida; Poales; Poaceae
Description: long non-coding RNA (TAES_LNC007707)
Rfam family: MIR1120/MIR1122 microRNA precursor family (bases 13443-13577)
Source: RNAcentral
AAGGAUUGAGUGGAAAGCAACUUGGGAAGACUAGAGAUCAAGCUUCAUAUGGUGGGAGUGGAGCUACUUGAUCUCAACACAAGGGUAGGUAGUUUUCUUCUCAGAAAUGUAAGGUAGGAGUGGUAGUACUUUCUGAUGGCUCUCUCCACGAAUGAAGAGGGGGUGGAGGGGUAUUUAUAGCCUCCACACAAAAUCCAACUGUUACACACAUUUGACCAAUCUCGGUCAGACCGAAGUUGACAACUCGGUGAGACCGAAAGUUCAAAUCAUGUGAACGUUGGGAUUUUCGGUGGGACCGAAAAUACAAACUCGGUGAGUCCGAUUCGUCCAAAGACAAGAGCUUGCCAAUCUCGGUGGGACCGACUUCAUCAUCUCGGUGACACCGAUUUGAUGACAGAAGGUUACAGAAGCUUGGCAACUCAAGUUUCGGUGAGACCGAGUUAAGAAUCGGAAAAUCCGAGAUUUCUAGGGUUUGGCUUUGUGGCUGAGGUGGUUCAUCUCGGUGUGACUGGGUUUGGAAAAUCGGUGGGACCGAGAUUACUUAUGAGUGUAUUAUGGAAGUGAGAGUUGCUGAUAGUUUAGGAGAUGUAUCACUAAGCACUUUGAGCAACCAGAUCAUUAUCAUAACCUCAUCCCCUUUUAAUAGUAUUGGCUUUCCUAUAGACUCAAUGUGAUCUUGGAUCACUAAACCAAAAUGGAGUCUUGAGCUUUUGCCAAUGCUUGCCUUAGCAUUUUGAGGGGUCCACCUCUUCAGUCCUUUUGCCAUGCCAAUGUGCUUGACUUUCCUGAAACAUACUUGAUAAAAGCAUUAGUCCAACCACAAAGUAUGUUGUCAUUAAUUACCAAAACCACCCAGGGAGCAAAUGUGCUUUCAAUCUCCCCCUUUUUGGUAAUUGAUGGCAACACACAAAACAAGACAUCAAAGCUUACUGAAAGAAAGACAGAAUUAUCACUAAAGCUUUGACAAACAUGUAGUACACAGGCUCCCCCUACAAGUGUGCAAGAUUUUUAUAGAUUUUGGUUUUGGACUACCACAAGCACACAAGAGAGAAAAACAAGAUGUGCUACAUGCAGCUUGGCUAUAUGCAUCAGAGCAGAUGAAAAGAAGUGAGUGAUCAUACAUAUGUGCAUGGUGAUUUCUUGCAAACAAGUAUUGACAAGCAAGUCACCAUCAUGCACAUUCUACAAGGUGCAUAUACUUACCUUGAGGUUCCUUGGCAUUGUACCUGAAGAAAUAAACUUGGGAAAACAAGAUUAGAUAACACAAGAGUAUUUCUUCAACCAACAGCAAGAACAUCAAGAGUACCAAGCCAGGGAUGACAUGUAUAAUGAGUGUCUCAUAAAGAGCACAAGCUUGAAUCAGCAAACAUGUCUCCUGAAACUAACAGAUUUUCAAUGAACUCUGAGAGAUUUUGCUUUCCAUAAGAUAUCAAUUGUGAAGAUUCCUCUCCCUUUGAGGAAAAAGCAAAAUCAAAAGAAUGAUGCCAAAUGUAAUAACCAAUGUGGAACACGGCAAAGCUUUGAUGUGAUUCUCUCCCCCUUGAGAUAAGAUUGCUCUUCUUCUCCCCCUAAAUCUUCUCUUCUCCCCUUAAGUCCCCCUAAAUCUUCUCCCCCUUUGACAUCAAGUGCCGAAAAGGACAGCAAACUAGGAAGGUCAGGAAAGAUUAAAGGAAAGAAAUGGGAUCCUUAAGAAUCACAACAGGGUAAUAAGAACACAGUUAAGCUGCAGAAGGUGAUAUCCUGAAAGAAAUAAAUCGGUGACACCGGAUUGAUAUGGAUCGGUGUGUCCGAAAGUCAGGGACUUAGGGCAGAUCCUUUUCGGUUAGACCGAAAUAACUAAAUCGGUGACGCCGAGUUUAAUUCCAAGGAAAUACAGAAUUAAUUCAGCUCACUUUGCAAGGAAUGUUUCAAAGGAUUUGCAAUGAAUUUGUAAAUGAUUUUCAAGGAAUUGAUCAGAGCCAAAAAGAAUAUUCACAAAGACAGAAGAACAGAAAAGAAAAAGAUUCCUAGAUGAAGUUUUUUUUAAGAAGAAAACUCAAUGAGAGAACAAAAUAGAAAAUAGAAAAACUCCAAAACAUAUGUACUUCAUCUAGAUAAGGGUCGGCGACAAAGUCACCUAUGUUUGAGUAUAUUGACUUAGGAGUCAAAUGAGAACAUUUGAUCAUAGGUCAUACUCAUCAUUUAAGCUCAAAAUGGGGUUGCCAUUUUUCGAUUAAGCAUUUGAUGUGAUCACAUCUUAUGAAGCUGCUUGUACUCAUGUCUUUGAGCAAAGCUUCUUAAUGAUGUGAAGAACAUACCUUGGGCUUGUUGUUGCUUUGUUCAUGUAGGUGAACUUAAUAUAGGUGCUCAUUGAGUGUGAAGUUGGAGCAUCAUUUCAACUUGUGUAGUUCAUCUUCCUACAUGGGUUAGGCAAGCAAGGAAAUACUCAAGGAUAUCCAAGAUGACAAGAGUGAAAUACUAGAUGUAUAAGGUGUCAAAAAGGAUAUGUGGAAUUUUGUUCCUUGAACUCAACAUCCCAAAGGGCUAGAUACUUGGUCAAUGACAAGAUUACUCAUGAUUUGAGUGUGUGGUAAUCUUGUGGAAUGUAGAUCAUCCAAGUACCUGCAAGGAGUUAGAUGCAAUACAAGGGGGCAAAUGUGUCCAAGACAUAUGAUCAUCGUCAUAAGAGAAAUAUCAAGGAUUAGUCAAGUAGGCUCAUGCCUUGCAUGCAUCAAUGGAGUUUUCACUCCAAGUUUGAAGCAUCAAUGAUGUUCAACUCACUCCUUAAGCGACAAAACACUUUCUCAUCAAGUGGUUUUGUAAAGAUAUCUGCAAGUAGUUUGUCAGUACGAACAUGCUUAAGAUUGAUGUCACCCUUGGCAAUGUGAUCACGAAUAAAAUGGUGACGAACUUCAAUAUGUUUCGUGCGAGAGUGUUGCACUGGAUUGUGUCCAAUCUUAAUCGCACUCUCAUUGCCACAAAGCAAAGGAACAUGUCUCACAUGUAUCCCAUAAUCCUUAAGCGUUUGUGUCAUCCAUAGCAACUGAGCACAACAUGAACCAGCAGCUAUAUAUUCUGCUUCGGCAGUGGAUAAUGAUACCGAAUUUUGUUUCUUGGAGGACCAAGAUACAAGGGAUCGACCAAGGAAUUGACAUGUACCCGAAGUUGACUUUCUAUCAACCCUGUCACCGGCAUAGUCCGAGUCGGAAUAGCCAACAAGAUCGAAAGAUGCCCUCUUAGGAUACCAAAUGCCAAAGUUAGGUGUGUGUAUCAAAUAUCUCACAAUUCUUUUAACAGCUUUAAGAUGACAUUCUUUAGGGGCUGCUUGAUAUCGAGCACACAUGCAUACACUCAACAUUAUGUCAGGACGAGAAGCACAGAGAUAUAGUAGAGAACCAAUCAUAGAUCGGUAAACCUUUUGAUCAACAGGUUCUCCAUCUUUUGUCAAGUCAUUAUGUCCACUAGUAGGCAUGGGGGUUCUCAUACCUUUGCUUUCUUGCAUGUUGAACUUCUUGAAGAGAUCCUUGGUGUACUUUGUUUGUGAGACAAAGGUACCCUCCUUAGAUUGCUUGAUUUGCAACCCAAGGAAGAAUUUGAGUUCACUCAUCAUGGACAUCUCAUACUUCUCCGACAUGAGCUUUCCAAACUUCUCGCUAAAAUGAGGGUUAGUUGAACCAAAGAUAAUAUCAUCAACAUAUAUUUGGCACACAAAUAGUUCACCAUCAACCCUUUUCGUGAAUAGCGUUGAGUCUAUUUUUCCAAUCUCAAAUCCUUUUUCAAGAAGAAAGCUAGUUAAGCAUUUGUACCAAGCUCUAGGAGCUUGUUUAAGGCCAUAAAGAGCUUUAUGAAGUUUGUAAACAUGAUUAGGCUUUUUAGGAUUCACAAAUCCAGGAGGUUGUUUCACAAAUACUUCCUCCUCAAUUUCACCAUUUAGGAAAGCACUUUUAAUAUCCAUUUGAUAGAGAGUAAUGUCAUGGUGGUUGGCAUAAGCAAGAAGAAUGCGAAUGGACUCAAGUCUAGCAACGGGGGCAUAGGUCUCACCAUAGUCCAUACCUUCGACUUGUGUGUAACCUUGAGCUACGAGACGAGCCUUGUUGCGGAUGACUUGUCCAUCUUCAUCUUGCUUGUUCCGAAACACCCAUUUGGUUCCAAUGACGUUUUGAUCAUCCUUGGGCUUCUCUACCAAAGUCCAUACAUUGUUCCUCUCGAAGUUGUGUAGCUCUUCGUGCAUCGAGUUCACCCAAUCCGGGUCUUCAAGUGCUUCUUCUACCUUCAUAGGUUCAAGACUAGAGAUAAAUGAGUAAUGCUCACAAAAGUUAGCUAAGCGAGUUUUAGAGCAAGUAAUUCUCCCGGAGUCGAUGUCGUUCAUCAUUUGUUCCACGGGAUGAUUUUUCUUGACUCUUGCUCGGACUCGGGAUAGCUUUUGUUGUGGUUGAGGCUGAGCUUCCUCAUCAUCCUCAUCUUCCUCUUCUUCUUCUUCAUUGUUGUUGGUGUUGUCUUGAGGUGGUGGAGAAGGAGGUUGUGGUGGAUCUUCUUGUUGCACUUCCUCAUCUUGGUGAGUUCCACUUGUGGAGGCCUCCAUGUUGCCUUGAGGUUCAUCUUGCCGUGAGGUAGGGGGCUCCACAUAUGUAGAUGAGGUACUCUCCUUCACUUCCAUGGGAUGGAUCUUUCCAAUAGAUAAAUCUUGAAUGGCUUCCGAUGGGUCCUUGUCUCCUACAUCAAUAGGCAUUUGCUCUACUUGCGAGCCAUUAGAUUCAUCAAACUUCACGUCUACCGUCUCUUCAACCUUUCGGGUGAAAUUGUUGUAGACACGGUAGGUGUGAGAGUUUGAUCCAUAACCGAGGAAAAAGCCUUCAUGAGUUUUAGGAGCAAAUUUGGACCGACGAUGCUUAUCAAGGAUAUAGCAUUUUGAACCAAAGACACGAAAGUAUCCCACUUGGGGUUUGUUACCGGUGAGGAGUUCGUAUGAAGUCUUGCCGAGGAGCUUAUGAAGAUAAAGCCUGUUGAUAGCAUGACAAGCUGUCUCAACCGCUUCACCCCAAAAAUGCUUCGGUGUCUUGUAUUCAUCAAGCAUCGUUCUCGCCAUCUCUAUGAGCGUUCGGUUCUUCCUCUCAACAACUCCAUUUUGUUGAGGAGUGUACGUAGCCGAGAACUCAUGUAGAAUCCCUUCCUCAUCGAGAAAACAAUCUACAUGGGCGUUCUUGAACUCCGUUCCAUUGUCACUCCGAACUUUCUUGAUCUUCACCUCAAAUUGAUUUUGGGCCUUUCUAGCAAAGGUUUUGAAGAUCCUCUGAACCUGUGAUUUGUCAUCAAGGAAAAAUACCCACGUAAAUCUGGAAUAAUCAUCAACUAUAACUAGACCAAAAGAGUUACCACCAAGGCUUUUGUAAGCAUUGGGACCGAAGAGAUCCAUAUGAAGAAGCUCAAGCGGUCUCCUUGUGGUCAUGAUGUUCUUCACGGGAUGACUUCCACCUACUUGUUUUCCUGCCUGACAAGCACUACAAAGUCUAUCUUUGUCAAAGAGAACAUCUUUAACACCAAGAAUAUGAUCACCUUUGAUUAGCUUGUCUAGAUUACGCAUACCAACAUGUCCAAGCCUUCUAUGCCAUAACCAACCUUUAGCGGAUUUAGCAAUGAAGCAAGUUCUAGGUUGGGCUUUCUUAGUGAAAUCAACAAUAUAUAGAUCACCUCUACGGAUACCGGUAAAAACCAUGUUAUGAUUGUCACGACGAAAGACUUGGCAAUCUACUUCGGUGAAUAGCACAUUGAAUCCAAAGUCAGCUAAUCUAGACACGGAAAGUAAAUUGUAUCCAAGUGAUUCAACAAGCAUGACAUUUUGAAUAGAGCUAUCAUGAGAUAUGGCCACCUUACCAAGGCCAAGUACCUUACCCUUGGAGUUGUCUCCAAAAGUCACAUACUUGCGUGGACCAUCGUUCUUUGCAAGCUCUCGAAACAUGUCUUCGUCUCCGGUCAUGUGAUCGGUGCAUCCACUAUCAAGAAUCCACUCUUUUCCACCGGAUAUGUAGUCUCUCAGAUUCGCCAUGAGAUUGAGACUCUUCAUGAUCUUGUCUAGCUCGGUGUCCGAAUCGGAGUAAUCAUCAUCAUGCUCAUGCUCAUCAUCAUAUUGACCCAUAGAUAGUUCAUCAUCAACACCUAGGUCAAUUUGACAAUGACUUGCAUUAGUUUUGUCAAUGUGACAAUAAUCAUCGGAAUGCAAUACAAGAGCAUUUCUAAUUAGAGCAUUGAUAAGAUAAGGAUCACCCUUCUUUUUCAUGAGAUCACGAAGCUCAAAGAAGCAUUUAUCAAAGUUGGGAUCAUUGGGGUGCAUCAUAUCAAAUUCAAUAGUCUUGUAUAGAAUUUCAUCAAGACCUCUCAAAGAGCAGUCCAGAUAAAGUUCUUCCAAGAACUUCCACAUAGCAUAGGCGCACUCAAAGUUUGUGACAAGCUUAAGCAAAUUAUCGGGCAAACCUCUAAUGAUAAGAUUUACAGUUCUAAGGUUACGAAGCAAAUCAAGCUCUUCAUCCAUGGUAGGGUGCAAGGGGUCAAAUGGAGGCACAUAUGGGGUUUCAACAUAUUUGCGCAAGUUAUACAUCUUAAAGAUAAUAAGCAUUUCAAUCCUCCACGAGUUAUAGGACACUCCAUUAAGAAUAGGCACUCUAUGGCUAACACUCCCAAACGUAGACACGUCCAUCUUCCUCCAAUGGUGUGUAAACCAAAGCAAUGGAAACCAAUGCUCUGAUACCAAUUGUAGGAUCGAAGAAGGUGAGAGUGUCUAGAGAGGGGUGAUUAGACUACUCGACAAGAUAAAAAUUAUGCCUUUUGACAAAGACAAGUUUUGGCAGAUUUUGCAUAUCACACAAGUCAAGUAGCAUACUACACAUGCAAUUCUAGAGUAUGGGCAGCAGAAAGUAAAUUGCACAAGUAAUAAAGAGAAGUGGAGAAGAUCAAACGCAAUUUGGAGACACGGAGAUUUUUCUCGUGGUUCCGAUAGGUGGUGCUAUCGUCAAUCCACGUUGAUGGAGACUUCAACCCACGGAGGGUAACGGCUGCGAGAGUCCACGGAGGGCUCCACCCACGAAGGGUCCAUGAAGAAGCAACCUUGUCUAUGCCAUCAUGGCCUACGCCCACGGAGGGCUAGCCUUACUCGGGGUAGAUCUUCACGAAGUAGGCGAUCUCCUUGCCCUUACAAACUUCUUGGUUCAACUCCACAUCUCGACGGAGGCUCCCAAGCGACACCUAACCAAUCUAGGAGGCACCACCCUCCAAAAGGUAAUAGAUGGUGUUGAUGAUGAUGAACUCCUUGCUCUUGUGCUUCAAAUGAUAAUCUCCCCAACACUCAACUCUCCUCACUGAUUUGGCUGUGGUGGAAGAAAGGAUUGAGUGGAAAGCAACUUGGGAAGACUAUAGAUCAAGCUUCAUAUGGUGGGAGUGGAGCUACUUGAUCUCAACACAAGGGUAGGUAGUUUUCUUCUCAGAAAUGUAAGGUAGGAGUGGUAGUACUUUCUGAUGGCUCUCUCCACGAAUGAAGAGGGGGUGGAGGGGUAUUUAUAGCCUCCACACAAAAUCCAACCGUUACACACAUUUGACCAAUCUCGGUCAGACCGAAGUUGACAACUCGGUGAGACCGAAAGUUCAAAUCAUGUGAACGUUGGGAUUUUCGGUGGGACCGAAAAUACAAACUCGGUGAGUCCGAUUCGUCCAAAGACAAGAGCUUGCCAAUCUCGGUGGGACCGACUUCAUCAUCUCGGUGACACCGAUUUGAUGACAGAAGGUUACAGAAGCUUGGCAACUCAAGUUUCGGUGAGACCAAGUUAAGAAUCGGAAAAUCCGAGAUUUCUAGGGUUUGGCUUUGUGGCUGAGGUGGUUCAUCUCGGUGUGACUGGGUUUGGAAAAUCGGUGGGACCGAGAUUACUUAUGAGUGUAUUAUGGAAGUGAGAGUUGCUGAUAGUUUAGGAGAUGUAUCACUAAGCACUUUGAGCGACCAGAUCAUUAUCAUAACCUCAUCCCCUUUUAAUAGUAUUGGCUUUCCUAUAGACUCAAUGUGAUCUUGGAUCACUAAACCAAAAUGGAGUCUUGAGCUUUUGCCAAUGCUUGCCUUAGCAUUUUGAGGGGUCCACCUCUUCAGUCCUUUUGCCAUGCCAAUGUGCUUGACUUUCCUGAAACAUACUUGAUAAAAGCAUUAGUCCAACCACAAAGUAUGUUGUCAUUAAUUACCAAAACCACCCAGGGAGCAAAUGUGCUUUCAACUGGGUCGGUUGGAGCCGGACGCCGGCCAUGCUGGCCGGGUCCGCGCUGGAUCUCUGGGACGGGCUCGUCGCCCAAUCCGCCGGCAGCUGUGGCGGCCGGAUCGCGCCGAGUCCGGGCUCGGCCGGAGUGCGCCUCACCGGGUGGCGAGGAAGCUGUGUGUAGAAGUUCACUGGCUCUGCCAAGGCGGGCGGAGCCGGAUCCCGGCGGCUUGGCGAGCUGGUUGAGGCGGUCUUGCUGGGUGUUGGCCGCGUUGAGGAGUUCGCGCAUCCGCCCAAUGUGCUCCUUCAGCUCCUCACCCGUGAGCUGGUCCUGGCCGACUGCGGCUGCCUGGGCAGUGCGCAUGUUCUUUGUUGGGGUCUCGUAGACGGUCGGGACGGCACCAAGGGCCCGGCCGAUCACUCCUCCUCGGGCAUGCACGUCGGCGACCCGGCUUGGCUCGGCCGUGGCGGGCGUGAAUCCGUAGGCGGCAUUGCGCUCCAGCUGAGCGGCGUCCAGGCGACGCUGAGUGGCGGCGAGCAUCUCGGACAGGUCCAGCAUCUGUUGGCUCCUUUCCUCGAGCUGGGUUCGGGUCUCAGUGACGUUGGUGGCGUCGACGUCGGUGCCGAUGGGGAUGUGGAGGCUUUGCGUCGCGGCGUGCAACGGAUCGGACGGAUCGGUCCGUUCUGCUGUGGCCCUAGCUUCGGCAGCCUUCCUCGUCUUGCUCGACGAGGAGGAGGCGCCAUCGCCGGUGAUGAAGACCUCCACAUGGACGUCCAUUGUCCCGGCGGAAAUGCCGCCGCCGAGGGAGAGGGGGGAGUCGGAGUAGCUAAGCACCUCGUUGGGGUACUCAUCGGCCGCGAACGCAUCGGAGAUGCGCAGCGUGGCGAAGGAGGCGGCGAGCGCACCGACGACGUUGUCCGCCAGCGUGACGGACUUGUUGGAAUAGGAGAAGGGCCCCGUCUGAAGCAUGCUCCCGGCCAGCUCCUCGAGCUGCCCCACGGUGGGCGCCAACUGUCAUGGUGGGCGCACGGCAGAUGCCAAGGGAUGGCUAAAGAGAGGACAAGGCUUGAAAGCGCUGGUGGGCUCCAGAGGCGAGGUUGGCAUGAGCGGGCGCAGGACGCCAGACAUACCCAGGUUCGGGGCUCUCCGGAGAGAUAACACCACUAGUCCUCCCGAGUGUAGUUGGAUGUUCGAUAGUAUAAUGUUGCUCCUGGAGCUGUAUGGGGGAGGAAGGACGCUGGCCAAGGCUUGGGCUACUCCUUCUCUCUAGUGUUGCUGUUUUGGUGGCUAGUUCUGUGGUUACUUGCCUUUCUCUCAUUACAUGCCCGUAUGAGCGUGGGCUCCUGGGGGCUUUUAUAGACCAACCCCACGGGGAUACAAUGGUAAUGUUAGAAGUUGGUGGGUCCGCAUUGUUGGUGUCCGGGGACCCGGGCUGGGUCCCGCUGAGGGCUUGCGGUUCGCCGGGUUCCCCUAGGUGUGGGCCCUGCGUGCCUAGGGGGGACUGUGCACGGUCUUGCCGAUCGUCAGGGCAUGGCCGAGUCGAGUCGUGUAUAGUGGCUCUCCGUCAGGUUGCCGCUUGUUGUCUUCAGCGGUGAGGGCGGGGGCACUAUAGCCACGCCGGCCCUGGUCAGCGGGUAGGUGAGGGGCACUGUUGCCACGCUCCGGCUGACCAGAGGCAUGGGCGGGACACUGUCGCCUUGGUCAUCGUUGAUUGAAUACUCAUCCCAUCGUACGGCCUGGAUGGGACGGGAGCUGACCCAUGGCUGGACUGCGGAGCACGCCACGGGUGGAGCUGGCUUGUUGAGGAAGCUUUCGUGGUGCCGGGUUCGGCUAUCUUGCGCUAGUUGUUGAGGCCAAGUCGGCGCGUCUUGCCGGGUCGGAGAGUCUGGCCGGGUUGCGAGUCUUGACCCGGCCAAGCGCGUACCGGUUUGAGGGGCGGUGCCAGCCCCGUUGUUUUUGUUUUUUGAAGAGGAUCCGGGUUCUAUUGCCUGCCCGGGGUUCAUCCCUCCGACAAUACCGGUGCAAUUGCCUUGGCAAAGGAAUCCAGAUUUCACAAGAGAACCAAGCACAUCAAGAGAUGCUUCAAUUCCAUCUGUCAUCAAGUGUCAAAAGGGGACAUAGAGAUUUGCAAGAUACAGAUGGAUCUGAAUGUUGCAGACCCGUUGACUAAGCCUCUUCCACGAGCAAAACAUGAUCAUCACCAAAUCUCCACGGGUGUUAGAACCAUUACUAUAUAAUCUAGAUUAUUGACUCUAGUGCAAGUGGGAGACUGAAGGAAAUAUGCCCUAGAGGCAAUAAUAAAGUUAUUAUUUUUUUGCUUAAUUCAUGAUAAAUGUUUAUUAUUCAUGCUAGAAUUGUAUUAACCGGAAACUUAGUGCAUGUGUGAAUACAUAGACACAACUUAUAGUCCUUAGUAUGCCUCUACUUGACUAGCUCAUUAAUCAAAGAUGAUUAUGUUUCCUAACCAUACACAUGUGUUGUCAUUUGAUGAACGAGAUCACAUAAAGAUUGAUAUAUUGGAAAGCUAUGUUUGGAGACUAGAAAGGUUCCGAGUGGUUCGGGCAUUUUUCCGGAGUACCGGGAGGUUGCCGGAACGUCACUACAAAAAAAUACACUUCCGUCAUGAUACGUGUUUGUCGCAGUAGGUCGCGUUUUUUGUCAUGCAUGUACAUCCAUGAUGAUUUAUGACAGAAUCCAGAUAGUCAUACAUGUGCUGUCGUAGAAGUGUUCCAUGACAUUACCAAAACUAUCAUCACGGAAGUGUCCACUCCAUGACGAUAAAUCGCGCGUCACAGAAGUGCUUUCGUCAAGAAUGACCAACACGUGGCAUGCACCGUAAUGGAACGCUGUUAAGCUAUCGGGUACGGUUUUGGAUCCGAUAACCCGUUAACAACCCCAACCAAUGGAGAUUUUCCACGUGUAAAAUCAUCAUUGGCUGGAGGAAACAUGUGUUGGCUCAUCGUUGGGACAGAUGUCAUCCACUCAUUGGACAGAAGGCGCCUAUGAUACGUGGACACGUGGCACGGCCCAACAGAGGCCCAUUCCUGUGAAAAGGCCGGCCCGUUUGACUUGGGAAAAAGGUGGCGGGCCGGCCAACUGAAAGCCUGUUAACGGCCUAUUCGCAUAUAGCCUAUUUACAGCCCGCUAACCCAGGGCCCGUUACGACCUAUCCGAAUUAGGCCGAGUAGCGUCAUAUGGGUCGUCCAAUAUGAUUCUAGCCUGUUUUAACUUCCGGCCCAUGUAUGGCCCAUGACGUCUUUCGGCCCAUAUGAGGCCCUUUGUAACUCUUGGCCCAUUAAUGGCCCGUGGUGAAACUGGCCCGUAAUAAACAGUGUAUCACUUUAUACCCAUUAACGGCCCAUUAUUCCAUUGGGCCGUUUCCAGCCCAUGUUAUCUUUCAGCCUUCUCAGGGCCCAUUUAUUCUUGGGCUCAUUUCCAGCAUUCGGUUACUUAUGGCCCGUUACUGUCUUUUUCUGCUUGUGGGCCAAAUUCAGCCCGUUGUUACAGUCGGCCCAUUUGUGGCUCGUUAAUACGUUGGGCUGUUUUCAUAGCGUCAUCAAAUAUGACCUAUUAACGAUGGCCCGUUAUGGUCGGCCCAUGAACGGACGAUUCCAACUCUAGCCCGUUUGCGACCAUAAUGCGGUCUGUUAUUGGCCCAUGUUUGGCCAAUCGAUCAUACGGCCCAGAUAAGGCCCAUUGAUGAUACAGCCCAUAGAAGGCACAUUGUUUCUACGGCCUGUAGAAGGCCCAUUGUUUCUACGGCCGGUAGGAGGCAUAGUGUCACUACAGUAAAUAUGUAGCCCAUGGCUAUUGUGGCCUAGUUUUAAAAAAUAGGUUAUUGCGGCCACUAGCAAACCGCGGAAAAAGAACUGCACUGACUACAAGCAAACAAAUAAACAAGACAACAAGGAAAUAAAUUAGCAAGCAACUAACGCUAGGCUAUCACGGCUAUUACACAUAUUACAUCCACUGGGCAUCAAAGUUCGCCACCAGUGCAAAUAUAGGGAACAAAGCAGCAUAUCAUAUACACUAGUUGUCAAAGUUGGCGACCAGCGCAAAUAAAUGCCACAGCAAAACAAAUCCAGAACUGAAACCACUUCAGAAGAUCUCAAGAAACAAUAUCCUGGGUACCCAUAAUGCUGGCAAGAUGCUUAGCAAGCUUAUUAACUUUCUCUUGUUUAGCGCUUAAAUCCUCCAGCGCUUGUUGUUGCACCAGGAAGUAUGCAUAUGAAUUCUGCAGGGACUUCCUCAAUCCUUCAGCUUCAUGUCACAGCACAUCUGAUCGAUGUCUUUCAACUUGAAGAUGAGACUCAAGAAUAUGAACUGAUUCAGGUAGCGAGUUCGAAGAGCUUGUGCCAGCAGUAGUGGCCAGUAACUCGAACACUACAUCAAGACAGGACUUUUGGAUUCUCUCACUGUCGUCAAGACAGUAUUUAUCAGCUUUCUUGGAAACCAAUAGGGAUGUCUCACUAUCGUGAACCUUAUCUGCAUUACUUCCUUUACCAUUGCAUAAUGCGGUACUCAGGGGCGGACCCGGGACAAAAAUGACCCGGUGUCCCAUGUCUACCACAUGUGUAUGUCAAGUAGUAAUAUACUCCCGGUAACCCGGUGACCCAGGAGUACAUAAGAAUAAUGGCUUGUAUUUUCUUUUCGGCCUUUGGCCGGUAACCUCCUUCUUAUUUAAUGAAUGAGGCAAGUCUUUUGCCUCCGUUUAAAAAAAUAGAACAAAGUCUACAUAGAAUAUGAUAUAAGAGUCAAUAUGCUUACCAGAAAUCCAAAUAUAAGAGGUUCGCUUGAAAUAUUAGUUGAUCGUAGAAUAUGCAACAAUAGCAGAGCAUCAAAUUAUCAAAAUAAGUACGAAGGAUGCUAACACAAUGCGACAUUAGAGCUCUGAUUGCCUACAGAACAAAAGAAACAAAACCACUUAGUAAUAUAUUAAGUAUAAUUCUGCAAUAAACAGAUAUGUUAAGACAAGUACCUUUUAAAAAUAUUUUAAAGUUUUUUCAUGACCCCAAAGCGAUCAAUUACCGCUUCAUUCUUCAUUGAUAAUCUUGCCAAGUCGCCCGAAGCCGGAUCAGUGGGGAACUAAAAUUUCUGGAUGAUAUUUUUCCAUGUUUUAGUCCAUAAACUGAGCUUCUACUAUAAUUUAAGAUUUUUUCCCCAACUGUUAUUAAGAUAAUUAAAAUUUGCACAAAGAAAAGAAAGAACUAUAAAACAUAUUACUGUACUUGAACUGCUAGGUACUCCCUCCGUCCGAAAAUAAUUGUCAUCAAAAUGGAUAAAAAGGGAUAUAUCUAGAACUAAUAUACAUCUAGAUACAUCCCAUUUUAUUCAUUUUGAUGACAAGUAUUUCCAGACCGAGGGAGUAUAUAAUUAGACUUACUUGACAUUGUGCUUGUGCGUCCAGCCGGUAGGUGCUCAAGAGUAUCGCAGACUUUUCUCCAAUCUCCACUCAGUGCAUGAUAAUUCUAGAUAAUCCAAUAAUACCAAAUACAAUUAAAUUCUCUAGCCCUAUCCAGUAGCCCUAUUGCCCUAUGGUAGAAAAGCAUUCAAGAAUUGGAUUCUGGAUGUUAUAGAUGCAAGUCGCAUUGGGAAUUUGCGGCUUUGGUGCAGCAGCAGACGUACCAAUUUAGUUCCCCACUGAUCCGGCUUCCGGCGACUUGGUAAGAUUUGGCAUUCCUGACGACUUGCAGUGAGCCUGACGAAGCAGAUGAAGAGGCGGAGGCGCAGGUAUGAAUCAGAUUGAUCGAUGUGGUGUGGAGGACCUGGUGUGGCGGCGAACUGCUCGUUCGCGGCGGCCGGCGAGUCGCAUCCUUAAAGUGGGCCGCGCUAGCAGCUGUUCUCCUUACUGGGCCGCAUGGAGCAAUACCGGUGUCCCUCACUCUUUUUUACCGGUGUCCCUCACUCUUUUUUACCGGUGUCCCUCUCUGUUGGGCUCUAAGGUUACAAGGUAACGCGAUUUUUUACCCGGUGUCCUGUGCUACCUGCUGGGCCAACGUGGGCUCGCCCCUGGCGGUAGUAUUCUCCAAUAUUUUGUCUGCAUUCUAAAAGAGAAACAAGUAGACAUAUCAAAGGUUUACCAUGUUGUAUAUGAAACUCAUUUUUGUAAAUGAGUUCAGUAGUAAAGUGGACAGGAUAACAGCAUGAAACAAACAUAUAUCUAUGUACCAUGAUCACUUUAUGAUCUAUAUCAUUCUAGUUUUUGUUGCCAAAUCAAGAUAGAGACACAGUUCAAAUAAUAUUUGUUCAAGAUAAAGCAGAAUAGACAGAAUAUAAGUGUCGGAAACUAUAGAGCAAUAACAACACUUGUAAUGUGCAUGACAUGAGAACAUAAGUGUUUUUUCAAUUGAAACUGAAAUCAACAUAGAGCAGGUUACAACAGCAAACCAGUUAAAGAAACAGGUAUAAAACAUACCUGUUGCACCAUUGGAGUUUCAAUUACAUCCUUCAAAUUUGAAAAUAGUUGGUAUGAGUAAAUACUGUAAUGCAAGAGCAAACGAGUAUGAACCAUAGCUACAGAACCUGACCCGAGAACAAAUCUUCUUCUCCUUUAAGCGUUGAGUUGGGAUUCGGAGUGGUGGUCCUCGUGCUUUGGGCACUGCAGUUCCCUUACUAACUGCUCGUGUUUGGGUGCUCUGUGGUGGAGACGGUGAUGUGUCAACUGGAACUGGGUUACUAUCUGCCAGUGUUGGGGUUAGAAGGGGUGUAGCUGGUUCUCUAUCCAACUAGGUAGGGGUACAAUCUGCGAGAGUCUGGGUUAUGUGUGGUGGAUCUGGUCCUUGGGCAAGUACAACCGUGGUUCUAUCUGCAUCAAUUGGUAGCACUAUCUUUUUUGAAGACCGUGUUGUUACUCCCUUAGAUACUACCAUCACCCUCUCCAAUUCAAAUGGCUGAUAAACAAGAAAAGUAAUUGAAAGUAUAGACAUUGUAUGAUAGACAGGUGCAAUGGAUAGUGGGGAAUAAAAGAGGGCAUGAAAUAAUUCACAUUUAUGUUGUCUAACCAAACAGAAUAGCAUGACACAAUUUCACAUAUAUGAUGGCUAACUAAACAGGAUAGCAUGACACAAUUUCACAUUAUGAUGGCUAACUAAAAAAGAUGGAAAGACAUAGUUCAAAAUAUGAUGACUAUGUAAACAGGAUGACAUGAUAUAACUAUAUAAUGUGUUUAUUAAAUAGGUUGGCAUGCCAUAAUUCACAUACAUUCACGGAUAGAAUGCCAUAUAUCAAAAUAUGAUGACUGUAAACAUUAAACAGGAUGAGAUGAUAUAACUAUAUGAUGUCUUUAUUAAAUGGGUUGCCAUGCCAUAAUUCAGAUAGAUGAUGUGUAUGUACUAUGUAAACAUGAUGGCAUGAUAUAAUUCAAACAUAUGAUUUAUAUAGUAAGCAAGUAAGCAGAUGGCAAUCCAUAUAUGAUGUAAAAACUAAGCAAUGCAAGACAACAUGCAUGACAUGGGUAAUAUAACCCUGCCAAGUUUGAGCAUAGACCUCAGGGGGAAAAUAGGACUGGUCAUUGGUCUCUGAAUCCUCCUCUGAGGAGCUCUCUGUGACCAGCAAGAUGUCUGCUUCAGCAGGUAGCAUUGUCUGCUCUGAAUACCUUAUUUUAACUCCAGAUACUUCCAUCACCGCUUCAAAUGGCUGAUGCAUAGGAAGAGUAGUUGAAUAUACAAAUGUUGUCGACAAAUGGAACAUGUAAUACAAAAAAAUGAUAGCAUGAUAUAAUUCACAUACAUGAUGAUUGGCUAAACAGCAUGGCAUUUCAUAAUUCACAUAUAAUGCCUUUGCAACAAGAUAGCAUUCAUAAUUCACAUAUAUAAUGUUGUGCAACAAGAUGGCAAUGCAUAAUUCACAUAUACGGUAAUUAGACACUGAACAGGUGGCAUUCACACAAAGCAUGUCCAAACUAAUCAAGUGACAUAGCAAUUCGAGACACCAUACGCACGAUAUGAUCAACAUAACCCUGCCAAGUUAGAGCAUACACCUCAGGGGGGAAUAGGACUGGUCAUCUGUCUCUGAAUCCUCCUCUGAGGAGCUAUUCAUAACCAGUGAGAUAUGUGCUUCGUCAGAUAGCAUAGUCUGCUCUGAAGACCUUGUUUUCACUCCAGAAUUUGCCAUCACGUGUCAAAUGGUUGAUGCACACGAAGAACAGUUGAAUGUACUAACAUUGUUGACAAAUGUAAUAUGUAACGAAAAAAAGGAUGGCCUGAUAUAAUUUACAUAUAAGAUGACUGGCUAAGUAGGAUGGCAUUGCAAAAUUGACAUAUAUGAUGCCUGGCUAAACAGGAUGGCGUUGCAUAAUUCACAUAAAGGAUGAAUAAACUAAACAGAUGGCAUUCGCACAAAGGAUGUCUAAACUAAGCAGAUGACAUAUUUGAUGUAUAAAGUAAGCAAUGCAAGGCACCAUAUGCAUGAUAUAACCAACAUCAGCAUGCCAAGUUAGAGCGAAGACCUCAGGGGGUAAAUAGUAGUUGUCUUCUCCUUCUGAACCCCCCUCAGAACAGAUAUCUUCCUUUCGAUUACAAUCCGAAAUGCGUGGAGGGGGCUGCCUUUGCGCCUACCAUGGAGCGAUGUCUGCAUGAAAGUUUAUUGCCACGCAAGGCUCGUCUCUUUUGCUCUACAUGUUCAGUUCCAUUGUUUACAAUAACUGUCAUGCAUAGGAAUAAAACAUAGUGAGAUUAUGUAAGGAGAGCAUGCAGAAAUCCAGAGUGAUGGUUGCAACCUAUGGAUAGACCCAAAACCAAUAAUAGCAGGCAGAUAAUGGCUUCAGUUAAAAAAUACAGAUAAUGGCUUCUUUACUGUUUGUUUCCCACCCAACAUGAAACUCAUAGUAGAAACCGGAGAUUAACCAGAUAGUAGAUAGAUACUAUUGAUUGCGGCCCCAAUAUGUACCCCACAACCAUUUAAAAACUCAAGUUUGACCAUUAGUUUGGAGCUGACUCAGAGUCUAAUUGGUGAACAGGACGAUAAAGUAGCAUGUAAUAUUAAGCGAUGCAUAACGUAAGCAGACACUACUAGGGAAAACCUUAUACAUAGAAAUUUAGCAACAGCGUGGGUCAAAAAAGGGCGCUAGUGCUAUAUAGCAGUAGCGAUUGAAGAAAAACCGCGCUACAGAUACAACCUUAGCAGUAGCGCGUGUAGUUGCAAAAGCGCUACUACUAAUAUUCCCACUGGCAGAAUGAUAGGCUACGCAUAGAAGUAGCGGGCUUGGAAGAAACGCGCUACCGCUAGGGCAUAAUUAGCAGCGCGUUUAAGAAGAGCGCUACUACUAACGGAAAUAAAAUAAGAUGAAAAACAAAUAGAAAAGUAAAUGAAAACGGAAGAAAUAGAAAAAGGAGAAAGGAAAAAAUAAAAUGUAAAGCAAAAUAAAUGAAAAAGCGAAAAAAUGGAGGAAGGCAUCGCAGCAGCGUGUGUUUGUAAGAGGCGCUAUAGCUAACGUAGCUGCAGCGCGUGUCCUAGACCCCUGCUAUAGAAACAGAAAAGGAAAUUAAAAAAUGGAAGAAAUUUACAUAGCUAUAGCAGUAGCGCAUUUUGUAAAAACCGCUAUAGCUAUCUUAGCUAUAGCGCGUUUUACCAAACGCGCUACCGCUAAGUUUGACUUAACCAAAAAACCGUUUCCCCUCGGCCACCACUUCUCCCCCAAAUCCCUCAACCCACCCCGCGCGCCGCAGUCUCCCUGAUUCACCGUCGCCCCACUUCACCGCCGACGUCGACGCCACCAGAGCCGAGCGCCGUCGACGCCACCGGAGCCGCCCCCAACGCCACGGAGCCGCGCGGCAUCGUCAACGCCACCGGAUCCGCCAUCGACGCCACCAUAUCCUUCCUCGCCACAACUGCCUCUCUCGCCGUCACCGGAGACGCCCCUGCCUCCCUCGCCGUCACCGGAGACGCCCCUGCCUCCCUCGCCACCACUGCCUCCGUCGCCACCACCGGAGCCAUCCUCUGUAAGCCCCCACCCAUCCUCUCUCUCUCAUGCAUAGGUUAGCCAGUUUAAUUAGGUUAAUUAUCUAGGUUAGGGCAAAAAUUUAGUUAGGGCUUUGACAGAGAAGUAGUUAGGUUAACUAGUUUAAUUAGGUUAAUUAUCUAGGUUAGUGCAAAAAUUUAGUUAGGGCUUUGACAGAGAACUAGUUAGGUUAACUAGUUUAAUUAGGUUAAUUAUCCAGGUUAAUUAGUGCAAAAAUUUAUUUUAGGCUUUGACAGAGAACUAGCUGCGUUAACUAGUUUAAUUAGGGUUAAUUAUCUAGGUAAACUAGAUUAACUAACUAGGUUAAAUAGGUAGGUUAAUUAAGCUAGGUUAAGUAGAUUGGCUAGGUUAGAGGAAAAUUUUAUUUUAGAGCAUUAGGUCAGAAGGGUUAGAGAAAUGGAUUUCCUUUGCAAUUUAAUUGGGUUUUGUGUUUAGUGAGGUCAUUUUGCAAAGGUUUUUGAUUUUUGAAAAGACCACUAUUUUUCAAGGAAAAGAAUUUAGGCAAAUUUUAUUUUUCAUUGAAGUGGUCAUGUUAUAUCUUUUCAUUGAAGUUGUUUGAUUGUGCCCAAGUGGCUUUGUUGUUUCCAGGGAAUGAUGCUGAGUGGCCUAUGUUUUGCCGGAAUGUUGAUUCAUUUCUGUUCCGGCAAAUUUCAGGUUCUCGAUUUGUCCACUUUUUAGCAAAGGUCAUGCCGAAAUUUUCCGUGAAUUUCGGCAUGACUUGUGCUACAAACUAGGACAUAUCGAGUGCCCGAGAUUUGCCGCACCAGGAAGGAGUCAACAUUCCUGCAAAACAAUAGUCCUUUUUUAUGUCAUUAUUCAUUUUAUUAGGUCUAGAAUUAAUUUACUAGAUUUAAUCAUAGGAAAUGUGGCUAGCAACGAUGAAGGACAGGGUUCUGGUGAUUGCGACGACGUCUACCGGGCAGCAGACGAAUUUUUUAGCCUUACCGACGAUCAACAGAUGUUGUUGUUGGGCCCACCGGUGGCAUCGGGGACUAAGACCGACACGUAGACCGGUGCUAAGACUGAGACCGGCACUGAGAUUCAGACCGGCAUCGAGACCGGCGCUGAGACCGGUGCUGCCUCGGGGAGCGGAGCCGGUGUAGAACCGAAAGCAAAGAGGCAACGGGUUCCUAACAAACUCAGGACUACAAGACUGGUGGUCACGGAGGUGGACGACGGCAAUUUUGAGCCAAAGGUGCCCGAGGAAGCGCGCGCGUGCUACGGCAAUCAAAUAGGCUGCAUCAUACGGACAACCGCCACCAUCAACGAUGAGAAACUACAGAAGAUAGAAAAUAUGAGGAGCUCCCUCCUAAAGAAGUUUCACCAGAUAUUCUUGUUCCCGGGCCGGAAUGAGAAGGAUUAUGAAGAUCCAGACGAGGACCCGGCGAAGAAGAUAAACAAACACGCCAUGACCAAGUUUAGCGACGCGUUGGCCGCCUGGAAAAAUCGAGUGAAAGCAAAGAUCAACGAUGGGGAACCCUACUCCGAGAUUGUAAAGGAUAAUACGACAAUCACGGAAGAGCAGUUUCAAAUAUUCAAGGAGGCUUGCAAGGCCGAAGCUGCCAAAAAAAGUCUAAGUACAUGAAGGCGCUUCAAAAGAGGAACAUUGGGAGCCACCACCUCGGAAGCCAUGGUUACGGUGGAAAGAGGUCCAAAUGGGCCAAGGAGGACGCGGAAGCCGCGAGUCUGGGCAUCCCAGACCCCUUGGUGGAUUUCACCGUCCCGCAGGAGCGUGACGUCCUGAGGGCCCGACACCAUUGGGACCCAGUGAAGAAGGUUUACAAGACAACACCGGUCAUUACGGAGUUCAUGAGACUGCUGGUAAAUUUAGUUUCUGAUCAAUUCGACUGCACACGUUAGUCAUAUUUGUAAAUGAUCCUUGUGCCUUAAGCAGAGAGAGCAGCACCGGAUUGCGGCCGAAAGCGACUCGCCGUCUGAGGCAUUGGCGAAGCCCAAGUGGGACACUCCAUUCAACCGGGCGUUGAACAUAUUGAAACAACAACCGAUGGAUACUCGACCAUCGUAUGGACGCGUGCACGGUGUCGGAGACGGCGCCACGUGGAAGAAGUACUACCGUGAGACCACGGAGAAGAGAAAGGAAAGACGGAGGUUAAUUGAAGAAAACAUCAACAAGAAGGUUGAGAUGCGGUUGACAAGAAAUCAUCUCAGACAGUCGCAACAGCGGUAGCUGCCGCAAAACAGGCGAUUUCACUUGGACAAGGCAAAAUCCAGAAGAAAAAAAUGCAGAGGACUUUCCCCUUGCUAACUUCUUGGGAGCACCUGCUCCCGCACCGGCUCCCGCACCUGCUCCCGCACCGGCUCCCGCACCUGCUCCCGCACCGGCUCCCUCACCGGCUCCCGCACCGGACGUGCUCGGUGGUGCCUCCUCUUUGGCUGAGCUCGACGGCCUCACGGUAUCUAUCACACCGGCCCCCUUCAAUAUAAAUGUAUAAUCUCCCGUUUUCGUUGCCUUUCGGAUGUCUCACGUCGCAGACUUUUCUUUGCAGGCCGACGAAACACCGUGCACCAUAUUGUACACCAUCGGCGAACAGAAGAUGGACGUGGGGAAGGCGACGAUAAAGGAGCCGAAGGAACCAUUGUUCUACAGCCGGCUGAUCCCCCCGAACGCCUUCAAGGUUUCCGUGGCCAGUGUCAAACCGGGCCAUGAGAAUUUGCCUCCUCUAAUACUAGUGGGGGAUGACGACGAGACCCCGUGGCAGCUUGGUGAUUGUUGCAAUGGGUGGGUCCUAUUGUGGCCAAAGAGUCUGCUUCGUCUGGAGGUGGCCGGGAGCACACCCACGAGCACACAGCCUCAGCAAGGUAUGAACAUCAACACCCCACCUACCCAAUUAGCGUCGGGUGUCGGGUUCGGUGAUAGCGGACGGGGUAAGGAGGAGGCUCCAUUAGUCGCUGAUGACGUCGCCAUGGAUGAGGAUGAGGAUGACGAUGGCGCUGAACAGUAUGUCUAUACUGGCGCCUCCUCAGGGUUUGAGCGUCAUGAGUCAGUGCCUGAAUUACCGUCUCAACGUAUUAUUGACGACCUUCCGGUAGUAAAGAAGUCUAGGAAGAGAGCGAGGAAAGGCAAAAAAGUUGAUUCGACAAUCCAGCCGCCUUAGCAGCCUCGGCUUCAGGACCGUAUAGAUAUCCCCGAUGCGGAUAAAUGGCAUAUCCCCGGUCAACCAAUCCUACCUGAAACAGCGCUACGGGCCAGAUUUGGCAAUCUAAGGAGACUUCAUGACGAUGUGCUGCGGGUAGAGAAAGGCCUCAUCGCCUCGAAAGAUCCAGGAUACCCACUUUACGUGGUUAACAUUCCGCGGCAAAUGUUGUAUGUCGACAGCUUCCCCGCGGAUAAGUUCUUCCUCCGAUUCGAUUACAUAUUCGACAUGUUUCACGUGAAGAAGCUGGAUUUUACGUUUGUCCGCCUUUAUGCCUUGCACAUGAACUACAUCAUUGGGGUUGAGCAGAUACGUCAUAUCUGUGUCGCUGACCCGUACUACAUGCACGAGGGCUUCUUGGGAGUCUGUGCAGAGCACCGUGAAUACGCGGGAUUACAUCAUCAGUUUCAUGCUCGCCAAUAAGGACAAGGAGGCGAUUCUCGUGCCUUAUCAUCCCGUGUAAGUCAUCCGCGCUGCGAUCCUUCUUCCUUCAAUUUCAAUAAUUCAUUUGCACGGUGGAGGCUAAUUAAUUUGAGGUGUACUUAUUUUGCGCAGCGGCGGGCGCGCCGUCCUCAUCAUCCUCUACCCCCGAUUCUCCCACGCUCUUUACUUGGACUCGUCGAAGAACAUUCACAAAAAGGAUUACACCCACAUCAAAGAUGUUCUCGACAGUGCUAUGUUUUACUACCAAGCAAGGGGUGGAGAGGUUAGGGACAAGAAGAGAAGGGGCGGUAGGGACGCCUUCAGCCAUAAGACCGACUUCUGCUGCAUUCAGCAACCGAACGAUUCUCUUAAUGAUGGAUUCUAUGUCCUACACCACAUGCUGGAGUACAGACGGGAUCACCAGAACCUUCGCAUGUCACCUAGAUCUGGCGAUGCCCAUAUUCUGCAAUGGGCAAAGGACAUAGGAGAUAUCGAGGAUCAUCGACUUCGAGCUAAGUUCUAUAACAUCCAGCGCGAACUUGCCCAAAUAAUCAUGAAUGAGGUCGUCGGAAAAACAGGGAUGUUCUACGCAGAAGGACAAAUGUCGCGGGAAGACGUCCGAACAUGGAUAGCCUCUCAGUGUCUCGACAUGAAGCCUUUCACUAAGCUCGAGGACUAUCUCCCUGACAUGGAUGGAUGGCACGACAUGAUGGAGUGAUUGUCGAUAUACGACAAUGUGUCCGUUUAGUCCAUACUUUCUUUUAUGACAAAACUUUGAGUUAGGCACGGUGAAACUUUAUUUGUGAUGUAAUUAAACCGUCCUCCUCCUCGACUAGCGAAAAUCACUCUAGUUAGGGCAUUUUGGGUACGAUGAACUUUGUUUAUGCUUAUGAUAUGUUGUUUCUAUUUUUGCCAAGUCUGUCUCUUUCUGUUGCUCAACUAUAUAUGUUGCAUAUCAUCGACUCAUGUGACGAUGCAGGUGCAUAGAUCAUAGAUGGCGAAAAAGUGCUACACCAGGAGUAUAUAUACGACAAGUGGCCGGAGUGUCAGGCCCAGGUGUACCGGUUUUCGGUUUCCGAGCGUCAGGCAGUAGUUAGUUUAGGUUCAUGCUAAUGCGAGAGGGGGAUACGAACUCAUGUACUCAAAGUGAUAGCUAUUCUCGCGUAUAUCAUUGUUUAGAUGGAUGAUGAUGUAUUUGCAAGUAAUCGAGACUUGUAUCGCUAUUUUCAAGAUUGAUGACGAGAGACCACUUUGUGUUGGAUGAUGAUUAUGAUGAUGACAUGAUUUGAUGAGACUAAUUGUAUGUAUAUGCUAUGAUUACAUUUGUAUAUGGAUGAUAUGCUAAAGAUUAUUGUAUAAAUCUUAUUCAAAUACAAAACAAAUAAAAAACAAAUAUGCAGGAAAAAACAAAUAAAACUAGUAGUAGCGAGGGGGGAAAUUUAGCAGUAGCGCCGCCUUACCAGUAGCGCUUCCCUAUAAACAGCGCUACAGAUAAUAUCAGUAGCGCCCUUUUCUAAAGAGCGCUACAGCUAUUCAUGUAUAGCAGUAGCGUGGGUCAACAGGCGCUACUGCUAUACGUUAGCUGUAGCGCCUUAUUAGUAGCGCCGGUACCCGCGCUACUGAGAGGGCCAAAACCCGCGUUGCUGCUAGGCUUUUCCCUAGUAGUGAGACACGAAAGAGUGCGACCUCUCUUGCGGACCCGUGUAGUCCUUGAGGUCAUCUGCUCGGUUGAUGAUGGUAAUCCAGUUUUCAAUCCUGCCGGUGGCGGGGAAGAAGAUCUGAGGCGGCGAAAGACAGUCUGGAGGCUGGAUCCCUACUGUGCUGGACCCUUCUGCCGUUCGAGCAGCUGAGCUGGGGUGGACGACGGCGCAGUAGGAGAGGGACAAACCAUGCAACGUUUUCUUUGACAACUAUCUAUAAGAGAAGUAACUCUGUAAGGGCUCGUUUGAAUUGGAGGAUUCCAACAAUGUAGGGAUAGGAAAUAGAUAGGAAUAGGAUAGGAAUGCACGUGCAAAACGGAGAAUUUAAAAACACAGGAUAUCUGCCAAUCUGGGUGUUUGAUUCACAACAAUUGGAAGAUCACAGGAUGCAAAGAAGCAUGGUAAGAUUAAGUCAAACCACAAGAAAAUGUAUGGUUAUAAUGCUAUUAUGCUACUAUCUCUUAGUCUUGUACUUCAUGAAUAGGAAUUUGAAAAGGAGGACAAGUGAAAAUUAAAAUUCCUACAUUUUUUCUUUCAAGGAGACACUAAAGGAACAAAUCCUACAGUUUUCCUUUGCUCCAUUCCUUUGAACCAAAUUCAUGAAUAGUAGUACCAUAGGAAACUUUCCAAUUCCUAUGUUUUUCAUUCACUUUUCCUUUCAAGCACUGGUGAUUCUAGUAGGCAGGCUUGAGCAAGGAAAAGCCUACACUAAACAAAUGUUUUUGUGCUACUUCUAUUACUUUGGACCCAGGCCACUGCCCUACUAGCUCAACUCCCGCGGCCAUCGACAAAUGCACAGCUCAAACACACAGAGAUAAAUAAUGAUGGCGUUCAAGAGAGUCCAUCACGGAUAGCUAAGUUUCCUGGUACCUCACUUCUUGUCAUAUAGUAGGAUAAAAUAAUUGUAUUUCCUGUUACUACGUAUGCUCAGUGGACAAUAUAUAUAACAUGUAGAGUAAAAAAAGAUAUGCAACAAGUGUACAACCUCUUUGGCGAAGCCAUGUCGAUCUCAGCGUGAUUGGGUUGGCCGGUGAGGAUGCUCUAGCUGACUUUGCUGUCGGAGGAGGGUAAGAAGAUCUUAGGCGUCUGGAGAUGGAGCCCGAGGUACUGCUCCGCUGUGAUGGAGGGUUUCGUUGUUGGAGCAGCUCCGGUGAGUUGUACGACGCCGAGGCUGAAGCAGGACAAGAGAGACAAUGUUAACCUGAGUGGAAUUCUAAUAGCAUCUCCAAUACAUGAUGUAAAAUACAUAACCGCAAAGUGCUAGAUGUAAAAUACAUCAGCCGCUCAUCUCUGAACUUAACUGUCGAAACUGAAUUUAACUAUCAAAACUGAACUUAACUAUUGAAACUGAAUUUUGCUGUCGAAACUGAAUUUUACUGUCGAAACUGAAUGCACUAGCAAGGUGAGGCUACACGUCAGUCGAUUGACUUUUUCAUCUCUAGUCAGUCAAUUUUGCAGCCGUUGGACAUGAAAUCAAGGGCCUGCGGUUCAUCUUCAACCUCCACCCCCGUGAGCCGCCAGCCGCCGUCGGCCAAACAGCAGCCCCCAGCCGCCCGCGGCCGGCGGUGCGCCGCCUCGCCCGCCCCGAAAACACUCCCCACCACCAGUCUGCCGCCGCCCCAGCCNNNNNNNNNNNNNNNNNNNNNNNNNNNNNNNNNNNNNNNNNNNNNNNNNNNNNNNNNNNNNNNNNNNNNNNNNNNNNNNNNNNNNNNNNNNNNNNNNNNNNNNNNNNNNNNNNNNNNNNNNNNNNNNNNNNNNNNNNNNNNNNNNNNNNNNNNNNNNNNNNNNNNNNNNNNNNNNNNNNNNNNNNNNNNNNNNNNNNNNNNNNNNNNNNNNNNNNNNNNNNNNNNNNNNNNNNNNNNNNNNNNNNNNNNNNNNNNNNNNNNNNNNNNNNNNNNNNNNNNNNNNNNNNNNNNNNNNNNNNNNNNNNNNNNNNNNNNNNNNNNNNNNNNNNNNNNNNNNNNNNNNNNNNNNNNNNNNNNNNNNNNNNNNNNNNNNNNNNNNNNNNNNNNNNNNNNNNNNNNNNNNNNNNNCCCCCACCCUGGACCCUAAGAUAGAUAGUGGGGUACCUCUCCGGCGAGCCCCCCUCCCCGCUACGGUUGGUUCUUCCUUCACCCCGGCGAGCCCCCCACCCCCUGAAAAUCGACUGACCCAAAAGUCGAUUCAGUCGACUGAAGUGUAGCUAAAUCGGAGCAGCAUCGCAAGCAAGAGAAAGAGCGAGAGCAGCAGCGCGAGCAAGAGCAAUAGCAAAAGCAGACCAGGCAGGGGACCGAGAGCAAGAGCAAGAGCAGAGCAGCGCGAGCGAGAGCUAAAGCAGCAGCAGCUCCUACUGAUGUGGACGUCGCCGCCGAGGGAGCGACGCCAUGGAGGAAGUGGCCGGCGACGCCGCCGUGGAUGGAGCCGCCCCGUGUCGGCUCGGGACCGAGCGCCGGUAGCACCGUGGGAUCGAAUCAAGAAGAAAAUGUGGUGAUUAGUAUACAACCGCUUUGGUGGCGCUGAUUAGGCCGCAUCUUCAUCCGAAGAAACGGUGAAGAUGAUGCUCUUCAGAUGGUGCAGGUGAAGACGACGGUGUGGGAAUGGAGGUGGCGCGAAAGAUGAGGGGAAUGUCGGGGAAGCUCCUUGGAGGUGGAGGACGGGGUGGCUGAACCGGUGGGACGACGAGAUCGACGAUGGAUCCUCAUUCGGUAUGGUGGAUGAGGGAUGUUGAGGUGUUGUUGUGGACGACGUCGUCGGGGAAGAGGCUCCGGCUGGGUGGCGGAUGGAGGAGGGUGUGGGGCUUCGUCGUGGCUUUUCACGGCCUUGGUGUACGAAUGAGUGGGCGGAUGGGAUGGGAGUGGGGAAGACGCGCUUGUCCGAAAUGUGGGGUAAGUUAUGAAAGUACCCCCACCGAUUUGAGGUGGUUCUCGGUUCAGGGGUACCACUGGCAUUUCGCAUGUCAGGAUUUCACAGGAGGUGGGAGUUUUCGCGCGCGUUGUAAUUUUGGAAUAGCAAGGCGCGGGUUGAGAUGGAGGGAGUUGUCGGAGCACAACAAGACAAAGAUAUAUCUUAAAUAUUUCAGGCUAACAAGGCGCGGGUUGAAAUUUGCGGACAAGCCUAACGUGUACUGUACCAAAUCAAUUCGCACUACAAAUUCCAUUCAAAACUUUGAAUUCAUGUUAUGUUCAAUUAAAAUAUUUCGCUUCGUGUAUAAUGCAUGCAACCUACUACUCAAAUGAACGUUUUAGUGCAUUCCAAACGUAUAUACUACUGCUUCAAUAUGAACUAAAUUUGAAUUUGUUUCUCUAUUUGAAUAAGAUCUGCAGUAAUGAUUGUUGUGAAGUCAAAGCAUUUGAAUUUGUUUCUCUGUUUUAAUAAGAUCUACAAUCAUCAUUAUUGUCAAGUUAAACCAUCGUUUGUGUAUUAUCUUCAUAGCACACCACAUGAUUAGUCUCGAGUUACAUAUGAACUAUGUGUACUAUAUGAACUCGAACUCGAUUUUUUGAAUCCACUUUAUGUUGAUUUCAAAUCACAUUACAUUUCUAGCUCUAGCUAGAUCUUCAUAAUCUAAACCAUGUCUCAUAUGUAUAAUGUGUUUAUCACAUUAUGUAUGGUGCCCUGUCCCCUACGCCUACAAGUAUUUAGAUGUGAGUUGCAAACACCACACAUUACCACAAAUUCAAAUAAAAUGUGAGAAUCUUCGAUAUAUAGUAUUGUUUAGAUUGUUCAAUAUUUAGUUGUAAGCUGCAAACGCCACACAUUAUCACAAAUUAAAAUAACAUGUGGGAUUUUUUGAUGUACAGUAUGGUUUAGAUUGUUUGACAUUUAGCUAUGAGUUGCAAACGCCAUGCAUUAUCACACUAUGGUAUAACAUGUGCACAGCACGCGUAUCACCGCUAUAUUCAUGCAUGCAUAUGUUUAAAACACUAUGAUCUCCUAUUCAAAUAUAUGAAUCCACUUUCAUAUCAAAUUAUGAUCUUUGUUAGUCUCUUACACCCAAAAAUCCUCUAACCUUUGUAGCUACCACUAACUUUCUCUCGUGCAUGCACACGCCCUCCUCCCCCUCCCCCUCUCUCGGCAUUCUGUCCACCGGGCACAUUCAUUUUUUUCUUUAGGUCGUUCUCCCAGAGUCUCCACAACUCCUUUCCGACACACACCGAUCGAUAAACCUCUCUGGUGAUGCCUGCCUGCAACAUACACACGCACCUUCAAUCUCCUCCUUUAUGUGUCCUUG